RNAcentral lists this ribosomal RNA (442 nucleotides) under uncultured bacterium. RNAcentral's name for it is "partial 16S ribosomal RNA". It matches the Rfam family "Bacterial small subunit ribosomal RNA", at positions 338 to 795 of the family's 1533-position model. The record is from RNAcentral.
CCUACGGGAGGCAGCAGUGGGGAAUAUUGGGCAAUGGGCGAAAGCCUGACCCAGCAACGCCGCGUGAAGGAAGAAGGCUUUCGGGUUGUAAACUUCUUUUGACAGGGAAGAGCAGAAGACGGUACCUGUCGAAUCAGCCACGGCUAACUACGUGCCAGCAGCAGCGGUAAUACGUAGGUGGCAAGCGUUGUCCGGAUUGACUGGGUGUAAAGGGCGUGUAGCCGGGCUGACAAGUCAGAUGUGAAAGCCGGGGGCUCAACCCCCGAACUGCAUUUUAAACCGUUGGUCUUGAGUGUCGGAGGGGCAGGCGGAAUUCCUAGUGUAGCGGUGAAAUGCGUAGAUAUUAGGAGGAACACCAGUGGCGAAGGCGACCUGCUGGACGGCAACUGACGGUGAGGCGCGAAAGCGUGGGUAGCAAACAGGAUUAGAUACCCCAGUAGUC